UACGUAGGUGGCAAGCGAUACUCGGAAUCACUAGGCGUAAAGCGCAGGUAGGAGGUUGGAUAAGUCUCUCGUGAAAGCUCCCGGCUUAACUGGGAGAGGUCAAGGGAAACUGUUCAGCUAGAGUGUGGUAGAGGAAGAUGGAAUUCCCGGUGUAGCGGUGAAAUGCGUAGAUAUCGGGAGGAAUACCUAUGGCGAAAGCAGUCUUCUGGACCAUCACUGACUCUGAUCUGCGAAAGCUAGGGGAGCAAACAGG
This 253-nucleotide ribosomal RNA is filed under the name uncultured bacterium. RNAcentral describes it as "partial 16S ribosomal RNA". It matches the Rfam family "Bacterial small subunit ribosomal RNA", at positions 524 to 776 of the family's 1533-position model. The record is from RNAcentral.